This 231-nucleotide ribosomal RNA is filed under the name uncultured bacterium. RNAcentral's name for it is "partial 16S ribosomal RNA". It matches the Rfam family "Bacterial small subunit ribosomal RNA", at positions 99 to 334 of the family's 1533-position model. The record is from RNAcentral.
CGGACGGGUGAGUAAUGUCUGGGAAACUGCCCGAUGGAGGGGGAUAACUACUGGAAACGGUAGCUAAUACCGCAUAACGUCGCAAGACCAAAGAGGGGACCUUAGGGCCUCUUGCCAUCGGAUGUGCCCAGAUGGGAUUAGCUAGUAGGUGGGGUAACGGCUCACCUAGGCGACGAUCCCUAGCUGGUCUGAGAGGAUGAUCAGCCACACUGGGACUGAGACACGGCCCAG